Molecule: ribosomal RNA, 367 nt
Filed under: uncultured organism
Description: bacterial LSU rRNA
Rfam family: Bacterial large subunit ribosomal RNA
Source: RNAcentral
CUUUACUGUAGCUUUAUAUUGGACUUUGAACAGAUCUGUGUAGGAUAGGUGGGAGGCUUUGAAGCAGGGUCGCUAGAUUCUGUGGAGCCAACGUUGAGAUACCACCCUGGUGUGUUUGAGGUUCUAACCUAGGUCCAUUAUCUGGAUCGGGGACAGUGCAUGGUAGGCAGUUUGACUGGGGCGGUCUCCUCCCAAAGCGUAACGGAGGAGUUCGAAGGUACGCUAGUUACGGUCGGACAUCGUGACGAUAGUGCAAUGGCAUAAGCGUGCUUAACUGCGAGACUGACAAGUCGAGCAGAUGCGAAAGCAGGACAUAGUGAUCCGGUGGUUCUGUAUGGAAGGGCCAUCGCUCAACGGAUAAAAGGUA